GACGAACGCUGGCGGCGUGCUUAACACAUGCAAGUCGUACGGUGAGGCCCUUUCGGGGGUACACGAGUGGCGAACGGGUGAGUAACACGUGAGUAACCUGCCCACAACUUUGGGAUAACGCUAGGAAACUGGUGCUAAUACUGGAUAUGUGCUCCUGCUGCAUGGUGGGGGUUGGAAAGCUCCGGCGGUUGUGGAUGGACUCGCGGCCUAUCAGCUUGUUGGUGGGGUAGUGGCCUACCAAGGCGGCGACGGGUAGCCGGCCUGAGAGGGUGUCCGGCCACAUUGGGACUGAGAUACGGCCCAGACUCCUACGGGAGGCAGCAGUGGGGAAUAUUGCACAAUGGGCGCAAGCCUGAUGCAGCAACGCCGCGUGCGGGAUGACGGCCUUCGGGUUGUAAACCGCUUUCAGCAGGGACGAAGCUUUUUGUGACGGUACCUGCAGAAGAAGCACCGGCUAACUACGUG
Molecule: ribosomal RNA, 465 nt
Filed under: uncultured bacterium
Lineage: Bacteria
Description: partial 16S ribosomal RNA
Rfam family: Bacterial small subunit ribosomal RNA
Source: RNAcentral